AUUGAACGCUGGCGGCAUGCCUUACACAUGCAAGUCGAACGGUAACAGGUUAAGCUGACGAGUGGCGAACGGGUGAGUAAUAUAUCGGAACGUGCCCAGUCGUGGGGGAUAACGUAGCGAAAGCUACGCUAAUACCGCAUACGAUCUAUGGAUGAAAGCGGGGGAUCGCAAGACCUCGCGCGAUCGGAGCGGCCGAUAUCAGAUUAGGUAGUUGGUGGGGUAAAGGCCCACCAAGCCAACGAUCUGUAGCUGGUCUGAGAGGACGACCAGCCACACUGGAACUGAGACACAGUCCAGACUCCUACGGGAGGCAGCAGUGGGGAAUUUUGGACAAUGGGCGAAAGCCUGAUCCAGCCAUUCCGCGUGCAGGAUGAAGGCCCUCGGGUUGUAAACUGCUUUUGUACAGAACGAAAAGGUUUCUACUAAUACUAGGAGCUCAUGACGGUACUGUAAGAAUAAGCACCGGCUAACUACGUGCCAGCCGCCGCCGUAA
This 493-nucleotide ribosomal RNA is filed under the name uncultured bacterium. Its description in RNAcentral is "partial 16S ribosomal RNA". It matches the Rfam family "Bacterial small subunit ribosomal RNA", at positions 30 to 523 of the family's 1533-position model. The record is from RNAcentral.